Mycena metata is the source of this 96-nucleotide non-coding RNA. The record is from the annotation of a GenBank genome assembly. Lineage: Eukaryota; Fungi; Basidiomycota; Agaricomycetes; Agaricales; Mycenaceae.
GGCCAAAUGGUGCAGUUGGUAGCGCUCAUGGUGUUGUUGAGAAAAGCUUCAUCACCUACUCACCGCAGGACCCCCGUUCAACUCGGGGUUCGGUCU